RNAcentral lists this ribosomal RNA (398 nucleotides) under uncultured bacterium. RNAcentral describes it as "bacterial SSU rRNA". It matches the Rfam family "Bacterial small subunit ribosomal RNA", at positions 28 to 431 of the family's 1533-position model. The record is from RNAcentral.
GACGAACGCUGGCGGCGUGCUUAACACAUGCAAGUCGAGCGGUAAGGCCCUUUCGGGGGUACACGAGCGGCGAACGGGUGAGUAACACGUGGGUGACCUGCCUCUAGCUCUGGGAUAAGCCCGGGAAACUGGGUCUAAUACUGGAUAUGACUCCAUGACGCAUGUUGUGGGGUGGAAAGCCUUGUGCGGCUAGAGAUGGGCCCGCGGCCUAUCAGCUUGUUGGUGGGGGAUGGCCUACCAAGGCGACGACGGGUAGCCGGCCUGAGAGGGCGACCGGCCACACUGGGACUGAGACACGGCCCAGACUCCUACGGGAGGCAGCAGUGGGGAAUCUUGCGCAAUGGGCGAAAGCCUGACGCAGCGACGCCGCGUGAGGGAUGACGGCCUGGUUGUAACGU